UUUGUCAUGAUCAACACACCCUAUAACCACAAGGCUACACUACCACCCCUGAACAGGAGACGAGUGAGAUUUUACUCCAAAAUAAGGUACAACCAACCACUGGCUGAAAUCUCUGAACAUUAGCGGUACUGCGGAUCUAUUCUGCCCUGAAUCCCUACAGUAAGGCAAUCAUGGGGUACUGGGACCUAUUCUGCCCUGGAAUCUCUACAGAGACAAGCAUGCGGGGACCUACUCUACCCUGGAAUCUCUACAGAGACAAGCAUGUGGGGACCUACUCUGCCCUGGAAUCUCUACAGAGACAAGCAUG
Haliotis rubra (blacklip abalone) is the source of this 307-nucleotide long non-coding RNA. RefSeq lists it as uncharacterized. The record is from RefSeq and is a predicted model, not a curated record. The transcript has 2 exons. Lineage: Eukaryota; Metazoa; Mollusca; Gastropoda; Lepetellida; Haliotidae.